Molecule: long non-coding RNA, 358 nt
Filed under: Anas platyrhynchos platyrhynchos (common mallard)
Lineage: Eukaryota; Metazoa; Chordata; Aves; Anseriformes; Anatidae
Description: lncRNA (ENSAPLG00000017422.1)
Source: RNAcentral
GUGCAGUGAGGAAUAAUGAAGCUCAAAAAGAAGUACUGAAUUACGAACUUGCCUUGCCCUUCCUUUCCCUAUCCGCACCAGCUGGCUGCCACCUGAUGUGACCUUCCUUCUCGUCCUCUGCUGAUGUCCAGCUUCACCGUGGAGCAGCAUUGUCGACAAGAAAAGAUGGCAUCGGGCAUUUAUAAUAUGAAUGUUGCUCAUCAUUGCUUGCUGAAUGUAUGCUGGAGAGAGGAACAACUUAGAUCUGACUCUUAACCGCAGGCCUCUUAAUUUCUGGAUGGACUGCAUCCUGCAUCAAAAGGCUAAGCUGUUCCUGAGGCAACAAGUGAUGUUGAAGAACAGCACCAAUGGGUUGUGA